RNAcentral lists this unclassified non-coding RNA (1932 nucleotides) under uncultured fungus. RNAcentral describes it as "sequence contains 18S rRNA gene, ITS1, 5.8S rRNA gene, ITS2, 28S rRNA gene". The stretch from base 823 to 1932 matches the Rfam family "Eukaryotic large subunit ribosomal RNA", at positions 1 to 961 of the family's 3401-position model. Lineage: Eukaryota; Fungi. The record is from RNAcentral.
GGAAGGAUCAUUAUCACGUAUCCACGUAUCACCAAAUGUGCACUGUUAUUAUCUCCCUGUCGCUUCACAUGCAUUGGAACUUGCUCACGCUUUGGAAUGGAGUCUCGUCAGAGACUAGCGUGACAUGAGCACACUUGCGGACGCUUGCGUUCGCAGACAAUGGUAGUGAAUGCUUCAGGCAUAUUCUUACGUCCUUCGUGACCAUUCUACUCGAAGACGUAGGAGAAAUUUACUCACAUAUUUCACACCCUUUUUGCUAGUUGACUUUUUUAAUGUUGGACUUAAUAUAGAAUUAAUUUUCUACGUUAGUUCACACGUUUAUCUAUUUAAACGAAAAAUACAACUCUUAGCAAUGGAUAUCUAGGUUCUCGCAACGAUGAAGAACGCAGCAAAGUGCGAUAUGUAAUAUGAUCUGCAAGCUUCAGUGAAUCAUCAAAUCUUUGAACGCAAAUUGCGCUCUUGGGUAGCCCUAGGAGCACGCCUCUCUCAGUAUCGGUUCAACUCCUCUCAGCUGCGUACGCAAGUACAUGCGCUGGAAAAUGAGAGUCGAAGGAUUAUUCUUUCGUCUCUUGAAAUAUAUGGAGUGAGAUAAGUUCUCUCAUAGCAUCUCAUCCUUCUUCCUCUGGAAGAUAGACAGUCUCUGACUGUCGCGGAUAAGUGACGUGAAUACUGAACUUUAUGGUCUCUUUCUUUUACGUGUAACUUAUCAGCGAUCUCUAAGUCUAGGAUACUCGAACGAUGAAGUGUGGAACUCUCACGGCACGCGGCAUUCACUGCUGCAAUCGAUUAAUGAAAUAAUUUAUUAUUUGUUAGUCUGAAAUAUGAUCUGAGAUGAAGCGAGACAACCCCCUGAAUUUAAGCAUAUUAAUAAGGGGAGGAAAAGAAACUAACAAGGAUUCCCCCAGUAACGGCGAGUGAAGCGGGAAGAGCUCAAUUUGAAAAUCGACAACCUAAGCGGGUCGUCGAAUUGUAGCCUAGAGACGUACCAUCAGCUGAAACCUGGGUAUAAGUUCUUUGGAAUGAGGCAUCAUAGAGGGUGAGAAUCCCGUAUAUGACCCAAAGCUUUCAGCGUACGAUGUAUGUUCAUCGAGUCGAGUUGUUUGGGAUUGCAGCUCUAAAUGGGUGGUAAGUUUCAUCUAAAGCUAAAUAAUAGCGAGAGACCGAUAGCGAACAAGUACCGUGAGGGAAAGAUGAAAAGAACUUUGAAAAGAGAGUUAAAAGUACUUGAAAUUGCUAAGAGGGAAGCGCUGGCAACCAGUGCGCUUGUGUCGUUCAUCGCUUUCAGCCCCUGUAGCUGUGGCGUGCAGUUGGCAACUCUGCACGACGCAUUGAAAGGGUGGUUGGAGGUUUGGGACGGCGCUUCAGUCAAGAUCCAUGCGGUGAGGGGGAGAAGGUGGUGGGGAAGGUAGGAGAUCCGUCUCUGUUAUAGACCCGCCACUCCACCUCGCGCUGCAUGGAGGAAGGAAUAGUGCGCCGCUUGCGGCUUUGUCCCCUGCUCCUAGGCGCUCAGCUGCUCCGAUAGCAAUGCUAUCUCUGUGGCGAAGGCGUCUACUGGGUGGGAGGGUUCUAUGUGCUAUCACGAUCUUGUACGAAAUGGUUGUCAUCGACCCGUCUUGAAACACGGACCAAGGAGUCUAACAUCUAUGCGAGUGUUUGGGUGCAAAACCCCGGACGCGUAAUGAAAGUAAAGGUAGCUUCGGCUGCUGAGGUAGGAAUCCGGCAACGGAGGCACUAUCGACCGAUCCUCACUUGUGAAAGAUUUGAGUAAGAGCAUAUCUGUUGGGACCCGAAAGAUGGUGAUCUAUGCCUGAACAGGGUGAAGCCAGGGGAAACUCUGGUGGAGGCUCGUAGCGAUACUGACGUGCAAAUCGUUCGUCUGAUUUGGGUAUAGGGGCGAAAGACUAAUCGAACCAUCUAGUAGCUGGUUCCCUC